UACGGGGGGGAGCAAGCGUUGUUCGGAUUUACUGGGCGUAAAGGGCGCGUAGGCGGCGUGACAAGUCACUUGUGAAAUCUCCGGGCUUAACCCGGAGCGGCCAAGUGAUACUGUCGGUGCUAGAGUGCGGAAGGGGCUACUGGAAUUCUCGGUGUAGCGGAUGAAUGCGUAGAAUAUCGAGAGGAACACCUGCGGCGAAGGCGGGUGCUGGGCUGACACUGACGCUGAAGCGCGAAGACUAGGGGAGCGAAACGGG
This 256-nucleotide ribosomal RNA is filed under the name uncultured bacterium. RNAcentral describes it as "partial 16S ribosomal RNA". It matches the Rfam family "Bacterial small subunit ribosomal RNA", at positions 524 to 777 of the family's 1533-position model. The record is from RNAcentral.